This 73-nucleotide transfer RNA is filed under the name Stegodyphus mimosarum. It matches the Rfam family "tRNA". Rfam says of the family: Transfer RNA (tRNA) molecules are approximately 80 nucleotides in length. Their secondary structure includes four short double-helical elements and three loops (D, anti-codon, and T loops). The record is from Rfam by way of RNAcentral. Lineage: Eukaryota; Metazoa; Arthropoda; Arachnida; Araneae; Eresidae.
GUCUUCGUGGUGUAGUGGUCAGCACGCUCGACGCGCAACCGAGAGGUCCGUGGUUCGAUUCCCGGCGAAGGCC